UAGCAGGAAAUUAAGAGCAUAUGGUGGAUGCCUUGAUUCGAAGAGGCGAUGAAGGACGUGGCGUGACUGCGAUAAGCGUCGGGGAGGUGUCUAGCAACCUUUGAUCCGGCGGUGUCCGAAUGGGGAAACCUAAUUUGCCGUUGAGGCAAAUUACCCGGAGCCGUAAGGCUUUAGGGAGCAAACCCGCUGAAGUGAAACAUCUCAGUAAGCGGAGGAAAAGAGAACAAAUGUUUAUUCCCUUAGUAGCGGCGAGCGAAAAGGGAGGAGCUUAAACCAAGCAUAUAAUUUAUUAUGAGCUUGGGGUUGUAAGGUAAUAACGUUCCGGAGCAAUUCGGAGGGAGUCAAUAAAGAUAAAACUUCGUUAGCAGAAUGGUCCUGGAAAGGCCAACCAAAGAAGGUAAUAGUCCUGUAAGCGAAAACGGUUUUAUGCUCCUAGUUAUUAUUCUUGAGUAACUCGACAAAUGAAUGGGUCGGGUGAAACCGGGAGAACUAAACUCUCAAAGCUAAAUACUCUUCGAAAUCGAUAGUGAACUAGUACCGUGAGGGAAAGGUGAAAAGUAGCCCGUUGAGGGCAGUGAAAUAGUACCUGAAACCAUGUGCUUACAAAGACUCGAAGUCCGACCCGCAAGGGUUUAGGAUGACGGGGUGCCUAUUGAAGAAUGAGCCAACGAGUUUAUGUGUGUUGCUUGUCUAAAUCCUUUAGGGAUGCAGACAUAGGGAAACCAAGUGUUAAAAGCGCGUUUUAAGGUAGCACGCAUAAGACCCGAAACCAGGUGAUCUUACCAUGACCAGGGUGAAUUUCGACGAAAGCCGGAAGGAGGCCCGAACUGGUUAGCCGUGCAAUACUAUCGGAUGAGUUGUGGUAAGCAGUGAAAAGCUAAUCGAACCUGGUAAUAGCUGGUUCUCUCCGAAAUAGCUUUAGGGCUAGCGUCUGUCGUAUCUUUUUGGAGGUAGAGCACUGGAUGGUUUGAAUAGGGCGAAAGCUCGUCAAAUCAAUCAAACUCCGAAUGCCAAAAAGGAAUAACAGGCAGUCAGACCGUGGGGGCGAAGCUUCACUGGUCGAAAGGGAAACAGCCCAGAUCUCAAUCUAAGGUCCCUUAAUUUUCCCGCCUUAUGGCGGGGUUCUGAAUUUGUUUUUGCCUUCGGGCAGAUUC
This 1154-nucleotide ribosomal RNA is filed under the name bacterium. RNAcentral's name for it is "partial 23S ribosomal RNA". It matches the Rfam family "Bacterial large subunit ribosomal RNA", at positions 1 to 1104 of the family's 2925-position model. The record is from RNAcentral.